CUACGUGCCAGCAGCCGCGGUAAUACGUAGGUGGCAAGCGUUGUCCGGAAUUAUUGGGCGUAAAGCGCGCGCAGGCGGAUUGGUCAGUCUGUCUUAAAAGUUCGGGGCUUAACCCCGUGAUGGGAUGGAAACUGCCAAUCUAGAGUAUCGGAGAGGAAAGUGGAAUUCCUAGUGUAGCGGUGAAAUGCGUAGAUAUUAGGAAGAACACCAGUGACGAAGGCGACUUUCUGGACGAAAACUGACGCUGAGGCGCGAAAGCCAGGGGAGCGAACGGGAUUAGAUACCCCGGUAGUCCUGGCCGUAAACGAUGGGUACUAGGUGUAGGAGGUAUCGACCCCUUCUGUGCCGGAGUUAACGCAAUAAGUACCCCGCCUGGGGAGUACGACCGCAAGGUUGAAACUCAAAGGAAUUGACGGGGGCCCGCACAAGCGGUGGAGUAUGUGGUUUAAUUCGACGCAACGCGAAGAACCUUACCAGGUCU
Molecule: ribosomal RNA, 481 nt
Filed under: uncultured bacterium
Lineage: Bacteria
Description: bacterial SSU rRNA
Rfam family: Bacterial small subunit ribosomal RNA
Source: RNAcentral